Molecule: ribosomal RNA, 253 nt
Filed under: uncultured bacterium
Lineage: Bacteria
Description: partial 16S ribosomal RNA
Rfam family: Bacterial small subunit ribosomal RNA
Source: RNAcentral
UACGUAGGGUGCAAGCGUUGUCCGGAAUUAUUGGGCGUAAAGAGCUCGUAGGCGGUCUGUCGCGUCUGCUGUGAAAACCUGGGGCUUAACCCCGGGCCUGCAGUGGGUACGGGCAGACUAGAGUGCGGUAGGGGAGACUGGAAUUCCUGGUGUAGCGGUGAAAUGCGCAGAUAUCAGGAGGAAUACCGAUGGCGAAGGCAGGUCUCUGGGCUGACACUGACGCUCAUGCACGAAAGCGUGGGGAGCAAACAGG